AUUGAACGCUGGCGGCAGGCUUAACACAUGCAAGUCGAACGAGUGGCGGACGGGUGAGUAAUGCUUGGGAAUCUAGCUAAUGGAGGGGGAUAACUACGGGAAAAGACAGCUAAUACCGCGUACUAUAGGAGGAGCCGAUGUGGGAUUAGGUGGUUGGCGGGGUAAAGGCUCACCAAGCCGACGAUCAGUAGCUGGUCUGAGAGGAUGACCCGCCACACUGGGACUGAGACACGGUCCAGACUCCUACGGUAGGCAGCAGUGGGGAAUAUUGCACAAUGGGCGCAAGCCUGAUCCAGCCAUGUCGCGUGUCUGAAGAAGGCCUUCGGGUUGUAAAGGACUUUCGGCAAGGAGGCGUUACCUGCAGAAUAAGCACCGGCUAACUCCGUGCCAGCAGCCGCGGUAAUAC
Molecule: ribosomal RNA, 406 nt
Filed under: uncultured bacterium
Lineage: Bacteria
Description: partial 16S ribosomal RNA
Rfam family: Bacterial small subunit ribosomal RNA
Source: RNAcentral